RNAcentral lists this transfer RNA (75 nucleotides) under Staphylococcus aureus. RNAcentral's name for it is "tRNA-Gln(ttg)". It matches the Rfam family "tRNA". Rfam says of the family: Transfer RNA (tRNA) molecules are approximately 80 nucleotides in length. The record is from RNAcentral. Lineage: Bacteria; Bacillati; Bacillota; Bacilli; Caryophanales; Staphylococcaceae.
NGGGCUAUAGCCAAGCGGUAAGGCAACGGACUUUGACUCCGUCACUCGUUGGUUCGAAUCCAGCUAGCCCAGCCA